Molecule: transfer RNA, 64 nt
Filed under: Hydroscapha granulum
Lineage: Eukaryota; Metazoa; Arthropoda; Insecta; Coleoptera; Hydroscaphidae
Description: tRNA-Ile
Source: RNAcentral
AAUGAGGUGCCUGAAAAAGGGCUAUUUUGAUAGAAUAGAUCAUGUAAUUUUUUUACCCUCAUUA